UAGGACUAACGCUGGCGGCGUGCCUAACACAUGCAAGUCGAACGAUCUUUGAUUAUAGCAAUAUUAUUAAAGAGGAGUGGCGAACGGGUGAGUAACACGUAGAUAAUCUGCCUUCAGACGGGGACAACUCAGGGAAACUUGUGCUAAUACCCGAUGAGACCACAAGAAGGGAUUUUUGUGGCCAAAGGCGGGCAGCAAUGCUCGUGCUGAAAGAUGAGUCUGCGUCCUAUCAGCUAGUUGGUGGGGUAAAUGCCUACCAAGGCUAAGACGGGUAGCCGGCCUGAGAGGGUGAACGGCCACACUGGGACUGAGACACGGCCCAGACUCCUACGGGAGGCAGCAGUGAGGAAUUUUCCGCAAUGGGCGCAAGCCUGACGGAGCGACGCCGCGUGAGGGAUGACAAGCUUUCGGGUUGUAAACCUCUUUUAUUAAGGAAAAAGAUCUAUAUGCUAAUAUCAUGUAGAUUUGAUGGUACUUAUUGAAUAAGCCCCGGCUAACUACGUGCCAGCAGCAGC
Molecule: ribosomal RNA, 515 nt
Filed under: uncultured bacterium
Lineage: Bacteria
Description: bacterial SSU rRNA
Rfam family: Bacterial small subunit ribosomal RNA
Source: RNAcentral